This 254-nucleotide ribosomal RNA is filed under the name uncultured bacterium. RNAcentral describes it as "partial 16S ribosomal RNA". It matches the Rfam family "Bacterial small subunit ribosomal RNA", at positions 524 to 776 of the family's 1533-position model. The record is from RNAcentral.
UACGUAGGGUGCAAGCGUUGUCCGGAAUUAUUGGGCGUAAAGAGCUCGUAGGCGGUCUGUCGCGUCGGCUGUGAAAACCCGCAGCUCAACUGUGGGCUUGCAGCUGAUACGGGCGGGCUGGGAUUCGGUAGGGGAGACUGGAAUUCCUGGUGUAGCGGUGAAAUGCGCAGAUAUCAGGAGGAACACCGGUGGCGAAGGCGGCACUCUGGGCCGGUACUGACGCUGGAGGAGCGAAAGCGUGGGGAGCGAACAGG